Molecule: ribosomal RNA, 1900 nt
Filed under: human gut metagenome
Description: bacterial LSU rRNA
Rfam family: Bacterial large subunit ribosomal RNA
Source: RNAcentral
CAAAAGGGAAACAGCCCAGAUCGUCAGCUAAGGUCCCAAAGUGUAAGUUAAGUGGGAAAGGAUGUGAGAUUUCUAAGACAACUAGGAUGUUGGCUUAGAAGCAGCCAUUCAUUAAAAGAGUGCGUAAUAGCUCACUAGUCGAGAGAUCUUGCGCCGAAAAUGUAACGGGGCUAAACUUACCACCGAAGCUACGGGCUUGAACUUAGUUCAAGCGGUAGGAGAGCGUCGUAACCGGGCUGAAGUCGUACCGUAAGGAGCGGUGGACUGGUUACGAGUGAGAAUGUUGGCAUCAGUAGCGAGAUGUGGGUGAGAAUCCCACAGGCCGAAAACCUAAGGUUUCCUCAGGAAGGUUCGUCCGCUGAGGGUUAGUCGGGACCUAAGCCGAGGCCGAAAGGCGUAGGUGAUGGACAACUGGUUGAUAUUCCAGUACCACUACCAUCGUUAUUAUCGAUGGCGUGACGCAGGAGGAUAGUGUGUGCUAGCUAUUGGAUGCUAGUCUAAGCGUUUAGGCAGUGAGAGUAGGCAAAUCCGCUCUCAUAAUGCUGAGGCGUGAUGGGGAAGGUUCUACGGAACCGAAGUACAUGAUUCCACGCUGCCAAGAAAAGCGUCUAGAGAGAGAAGUAGUGCCCGUACCGCAAACCGACACAGGUAGGUGAGGAGAGAAUCCUAAGGCCGGCGGAAGAAUUACAGUUAAGGAACUCGGCAAAUUGACCCCGUAAGUUCGCGAGAAGGGGUGCCUACGAGAGUAGGCCGCAGAGAAUAGGCCCAAGCAACUGUUUAGCAAAAACACAGGUCUCUGCUAAAGCGUAAGCUGAUGUAUAGGGGCUGACGCCUGCCCGGUGCUGGAAGGUUAAGGGGAACACUUAGCGCAAGCGAAGGUGUGAACUUAAGCCCCAGUAAACGGCGGCCGUAACUAUAACGGUCCUAAGGUAGCGAAAUUCCUUGUCAGGUAAGUUCUGACCCGCACGAAUGGCGUAAUGACUUGGGCACUGUCUCAACUGUAAAUCCGGCGAAGUUGUAGUGCGAGUGAAGAUGCUCGCUACCCGCGAUUGGACGGAAAGACCCCGUAGAGCUUUACUGUAGCUUAGCAUUGAGUUUUGGUAUUGUCUGUACAGGAUAGGUGGGAGACUAGGAAACCAGGGCGUCAGCCUUGGUGGAGUCAACCUUGGGAUACCACCCUGACAGUACUGAAAUUCUAACUGGCGGCCAUGAAUCUGGUCACAGGACAUUGUUAGGUGGGCAGUUUGACUGGGGCGGUCGCCUCCUAAAAAGUAACGGAGGCGCCCAAAGGUUCCCUCAGAACGGUCGGAAAUCGUUCGAAGAGUGCAAAGGCAGAAGGGAGCCUGACUGCGACACCCACAAGUGGAGCAGGGACGAAAGUCGGGCUUAGUGAUCCGGUGGUACCUCGUGGGAGGGCCAUCGCUCAACGGAUAAAAGCUACCUCGGGGAUAACAGGCUGAUCUCCCCCAAGAGUCCACAUCGACGGGGAGGUUUGGCACCUCGAUGUCGGCUCGUCGCAUCCUGGGGCUGAAGUAGGUCCCAAGGGUUGGGCUGUUCGCCCAUUAAAGCGGCACGCGAGCUGGGUUCAGAACGUCGUGAGACAGUUCGGUCCCUAUCCGUCGCGGGCGUAGGAAAUUUGAGAGGAGCUGUCCUUAGUACGAGAGGACCGGGAUGGACUGACCUCUGGUGUACCAGUUGUUCCGCCAGGAGCACAGCUGGGUAGCUAAGUCGGGAAUGGAUAAACGCUGAAAGCAUCUAAGCGUGAAGCCAACCUCAAGAUGAGAUUUCCCAUAGCGUAAGCUAGUAAGAUCCCUUGAAGAACACAAGGUUGAUAGGUCGGGGGUGUAAGCAUGGUAACAUGUUCAGCUGACCGAUACUAAUAGAUCGAGGGCUUGACCAA